RNAcentral lists this transfer RNA (79 nucleotides) under Klebsiella phage vB_KpnM_KB57. It matches the Rfam family "tRNA". Rfam says of the family: Transfer RNA (tRNA) molecules are approximately 80 nucleotides in length. Their secondary structure includes four short double-helical elements and three loops (D, anti-codon, and T loops). Lineage: Duplodnaviria; Heunggongvirae; Uroviricota; Caudoviricetes. The record is from Rfam by way of RNAcentral. RNAcentral also lists the same sequence under 2 other names.
GAGGGCGUAUCUCAACGGGCUUCUAACCCGUCGUUAAUCGAGUAAUUGGAGUAUGCGGGUUCGAAUCCUGCCGCCUUCG